Molecule: non-coding RNA, 233 nt
Organism: Pelobates cultripes (western spadefoot toad)
Lineage: Eukaryota; Metazoa; Chordata; Amphibia; Anura; Pelobatidae
Source: the annotation of a GenBank genome assembly
AGCUUGAAUAGCUUCAGAUCUACUAUAUGCAGCUACAGUAAGCCCUCUUACUGAGGACACAUUCUCAUCUGUGCCAGGGAAUGCCCAAUCAGAGGAGUCUCAUUGAGAAGCCUUGCAUACCAUUAAAUGACAGACUUCGCAGAGAGCUGUAUUACAGUACAUUGAUAAAUCUUUGCAACUUAGGUGCUGUGGGCAAUUUCUUGCCUUUUGAAUUUUGCUCAAUGAAACUUAAC